GAGCAAGAAAAUCGGAAGGAAAGAAAGCCAACGAAAAAAAAUCGUCUUGGAACGAGGCCUCCAGGUGCCCUCGAGCUCGCACUCGCAUCAGGAGUGAUGCUACUUCCAGGCCACCACGCCACACCACCAGAUCCCUUCGCCGCCGCCUCGCACUCGCAUCCCAUCGCCGCCGCCCGUGCAUUCUCGAUCGGAGAGGACGCCCCCUUCGCCGCCGCUGAGAUCCGAGAAGAGUCGCCCUUCGCCGCCGCCUCCCUUGCAAGGACGCCCCGCCAUGGGUCUCUAUCGGUGCCACGACUGCCGCGGCCUCCCCACCUGCCGACGCUCUAGAUCCGGCCGUAGUUGACUCCCUGUACAUCAUCUCAAGGGGGAGGGGCGUGAGGCGGUUGCCGCCGUCGGUGGCUGCACUUGAAGGUCUCCGCCGCUUGCUCCAACCAGAUCCAGCCAGACCGUCCAGUGGUGGUCCACGUGCAUCUGGACGGACGCAACGGCUUUGCCUCCCCUGUCCCAUGUCUUCGUCCACCACACCAUCCGAUUGCGGUAAUAAAUCUAUAGCCAUGCCCUUUUCCUUGAGAUGAACUACAAAAUUUCUGUUCUGUUAUAUCUUGGUGAAUGUCUCGCCAAUUGCCAUACAAAUACAUGUGUGCUUCUCCUGUCGUGCAUUUGCUGGGUAAGCUGCUGCUACCCGGGCUCACAUGACCCCGUGGAGGAAGGAGCUGCGCAAGGAAUCACUGCCAAAAGACUCAAGACGAGUUUGGAGUGUCCUGGAUUCCAGGCCAUGUUCCGCAAGGAAGAAGCAACGAUAGCUAGCCGAGGGUUCAGAUUGACGUUCGCUUUGAUUCUCGUUGAUUCAUUAUUUUGACCGACCCAAGCAGCGCCGGCGCUCACGGAGGAGAACCUGAUGUUCCUAGAGGCCUGACGCGCGGUCGGUCACACUUACUACGACAAGUCCUCCAACGGGUGGAGCUGGUUCAGCUUUGGAUCAGGACUAACCUCUAGCCAGGAAAGAACCUGAAUCCCAAGUUUUAUUCCCAGUCGACGGCAGUGGCGGUGCCCACGUCCGCGUCAUCGGUGCUGGUAAGGGGCGCCUCACCCUGUUCGGCAUUAUCUUUUGUUCUUCCUACGGCUGCAAGAACCCUCACCUUGGCUAUGGCAGAUGCGACAGAUAAAGCAGACGGUCAUCUUCUCUCCUUUCUCUUUUACCAUUAGAGAAUUUUAGCCAAGCCUGCUGAGUAACACAAAGCUAUUAUAUGCGUUCAAUGGAAUGUCUGCAAUGCCAACAAUAUUCUGAGUAAAAAUGAACAAGGGUAACAUGCAUUGGAUGGCUCAAUUGUUUGUUGAACUAGGUUCGGUUUAGCUUGCUCUCACCAAUACAAAUUUUCCCACAGCUCAUGCGUUCAAAGAUGGUGAUUUCAAGAAUCUGUCAAGUUCAACAAAUCAUGCUUCUGUUUAUAGAAACUUAAAUAACAACAUACAUGUAAUUUGUUUGCUUAAUCACUUUAUUGUUCGUUACUCUCGAUCACCACCGGAGAAGGCGAUACUCAAAUUUGUGGCUGGGUGCAUCUGCGGAAGUACUUGCUGAUCUUCCCAUGUCAGGUUGUCCUUUUCCCCUCUUAGAUGUUGUAGGGUGUGUUUGCUUCCUGUCACCAACCGGAAUGUCAUGGGUUGGACCCGCUCCUGGGCCUCGUUCCAGCGUUUAGUUCGUAACUAAGAUGGAACCCACUCGUUUCCUGCGGCCGAAUAUUCGGCAGAGAUCCGGAACCGAGUGAUACCUCCGAAUCGAAGGAAUUACAAGGAACCGCUCGUUCUCUCCCUUUCCUCUCCCGUAACCCGGCCAUAUCCCCUCCCUCUGUUGAAUUGUACCGUUGUAUGUAUUGUAUACGCAUUGUAUGAGAUGUGAUGGUUGUUGUACCUAGGCCUAGUCUUCCGCCAUGACCACGCCAUCCACUCCCUGCAUGUAGGGAGUUAGGCUACGUGCCGCUGUGUAUAUGUAACAGACUGCUCAAUGGAAUAGAUCACAGACUCAUUCCGCCAUUCUUCUUGGUAAUCAGAGCGCAGGUCUCUCCCAUCCUAUGUCGACCAGCCCUCCCUCCUCUCCCGUCGACGACGGCCUCGGCCACACCCCCUCUGCCGAUGACCUCGCUGCGGCAGCUGCCGCCUCUGAGCGCCCACGCGCCUCGCUAACCCCGGAUCUCUCCAACUCCGGCGGCCUGCCUCUCGCCACGUCCU
This 2226-nucleotide ribosomal RNA is filed under the name Triticum aestivum (bread wheat). RNAcentral's name for it is "partial small subunit ribosomal RNA". The record is from RNAcentral. Lineage: Eukaryota; Viridiplantae; Streptophyta; Magnoliopsida; Poales; Poaceae.